Molecule: long non-coding RNA, 2008 nt
Filed under: Bemisia tabaci
Lineage: Eukaryota; Metazoa; Arthropoda; Insecta; Hemiptera; Aleyrodidae
Description: lncRNA ENSSWEETPG002072
Source: RNAcentral
UGGUAGAGUGUUCGCCUAUCAAUCCGAAGAGCGCGGGUUCGAGAACCGCUUCUUGCCCUUGGUUUAGGAUACGUCGCAUUGCAUUUUUACAAGUGUAUUUAUUUUUAUCACUCACACACCAGGGGGUCCGCCCCCUGGCCGCUACGCAGCCCAACCCUUGGGGCGAAAAGGGCCGCUUCACAGCAAACAAAUCAUCGAAAUCGACCGUUGGCGGUUGCAAAUUCAGAGUAAGGAGGAAGUCAUUAAGAAUAUUGUGUGGUGGGAAAUUUUUAUUUGAAACAUCGUUUGUCAUUCAAUUAAAUGAUUUGCUCAAUAACCGUCUACGGUCGAAUUCGAUGUUUCGCUUGCCGCGAAGCGGCCCUUUUUGCCCGGGGGUUGGGCUGCGUAGCGGACAGGGGUCGGACCCCCUGGUGUGUGAGUGAUAAAAAUAUACAACUUGUAAAAAUGCAAUGCGGCGUAUCCUAAAACCAAGGGCAAGAAGCGGGACACAAACUCACGAUUCGGAUCGGUUGGCGAACACUCUACUGCUCGGCCACAGAAGAGAUUGUAUAAUCAACCGGUCAAGUCGGGUUAAUAGACAUCACACUUCGUGCGGCUUGCGGCGCUCAGUUGACUCGCCGGAACUCAGCGCGGAAACGUGCAAAAAUUGUAACUUUUAAAAAUCGAUAUCUCGAGAACGGUUCGAAGGUGGCGGCUAAAAAAAAAUACAUCAACCUUAGAUUUGUCUCUUCCUCAUAUACAAGCAAAAUAAACCCAAUCCCAGGAUGUCACUUCGUAGACUCCCCUUGUAUGUGAUUUUAAUAAUGAUGUUUAAAAAAUACAUUUUGGGGGUUUUCACUGACAAGUAUGCUUGGACACCAUGUUUGUGUAAUAAAAUAAAUAAAAUAUAAAGCAAUUAAAGCAUCCAUUUCAAGCAUUUGAUUUUUUUCGUCCCUAUUAGAUGGGGAGGGACACAUGUUCAUUAUAAUUACAAAUGUGUCUUAUAUUGAUUUUUUUUUUUUUUUUUUUCAAACUACAGAAAGGACUAAAGAAUGUUUUUUCGAUGAAGCAAUAUUGGCAGCGUUGGAACCUCCAGAACCGUGAAGAAAAGAAAGUGUUGUAUACUUUGAUUUCACAUCUCAUUUUCAGUGUUGUGGACUUGUAUCGAUCCGUCCCUCAUCAUGAUGAAAAUAGCAAUGACUCUAACUUACAAUGCAGCUUUUAUCAGUGUGUAAAGCCCCAGUCCCAAGUAAAGAUUUUCUUGAAUCUGUUGCGGACAAUACCAAGGUGAAGAAAGCAAACAAAAUUGUCAUGAAUAAUUUCAGGGUUUUUAAGUUUGAAAUUUUAGAGGAAACGACAAUUCUGUUUGAGAUUAUUUUAAAGCUAGAUUGGUUUUUACACUUAAGUUUUCUGGUGUCAGUCAGUUAGCAACCCUCUUUCAAUGUUCUCAUGCCAAUAGAAUCAAUGCGUCAGUUCAUGGCCUUUAUCUUUAUCAAUCUUGAGUCGUUCAUCAAACACAAUUGUCAAACUAAGCAAAGCCAUCACUCUGUGAAGCAGAGUGUUGGAGUAAAAUUUCUGGCUGAGUCAGCAUCAUGUCAUGAGCAGGAUGAAGAGGAAUUUUGUGGAAGAGAGAAGACCAGAAAACCUAGUAAUUCAAGUGCUGUUGAUAAUCUCUUGAAAAAAGGGCAAAACCUACUAUAGCCCUCCCCCCUUUACCUGAUUUUGCCCAGUAGACAUCAUCCAAGUAUUACCACAAGAGACACCCAGCAAUUUUUCAACAGUCACUAGGCAGGCUUUUUUCCCCACAAUCAAAUUUUUUGAAACAAUUCUCUCAGCAGUUUACUUUUUCUCUCUUUCCUUUUAAAUCCUCUAAUCAUUUCUGAAAGCCCAUAUUUAGAUAUUUUUCUUAAAAUUUGAGAGCAAAACAUGAGGAUUAGAAAGAAAGUAGCACACUACGUUAUUAGAACACACUAACGAUAUCAAAUCCUGGAGGCACGAACAAUGAUAAACAGAAGUUAAUUAUACUGAA